CUGCGAACGGAAGGAAGUGCGAGCCACCACCACAGACGAAGAAGAAAGGGGCGCGCGCGGAAGAGGUGAAGCUUUCGCUGUCACCGUCGCGGGUGGGAUCGUCGCCGUGCUUGGUUCCCGUUGCGGCUGGACUUCGACCGCCGCCGUUCCUGUUGCCGCCAAGCAUAGGUUAGCACCGCCAAAGCUCCUGCCACCAUGGGGACCGUGAAAGGAGGAAGGAGAAGCUGUUUCCGUUAUAGCCAUUCCCGGAGGAGAAGUCAACUGCGCCGCCGUGCCUAGCUACCGGAAAUGCCACUGCCGUUGCCAGACGGCUUUGUCGGUCCCUGCUGCCGCUUGAGGUGGCUGCCGGGCUGCCGCUGAACCGGUUCGGAGACCGUCGCUAUUCGGUUCAGCCAUUCUCCCUCGGUCUUGGGUUGUAUAUCGAUGCUUGCGUGUCGUGCUCGGAGUUCGCGGCUGCUUCGUUUCGCUAGCUCAGUAAGUAAUUUAUGUUUCGAAAAGCCUCGCGUUAGUAUUCGGUUGUGUUUGGUUAAUGAAUAUGAGUUUUGGUAACGUGGGGUCAUUCCUGAUUGUUAUAUGCUGU
Molecule: non-coding RNA, 580 nt
Organism: Arachis ipaensis
Lineage: Eukaryota; Viridiplantae; Streptophyta; Magnoliopsida; Fabales; Fabaceae
Source: RefSeq, a predicted model, not a curated record